Non-coding RNA from Acanthosepion pharaonis, 94 nucleotides. NCBI's taxonomy places the organism in Eukaryota, Metazoa, Mollusca, Cephalopoda, Sepiida, Sepiidae. The record is from the annotation of a GenBank genome assembly.
CAAACACUGGUUCUCGUAUGAUCCCUAAAGUUAAGCAGCACUGAGCCUGGUCAGUACCUAAAUGGGUGACUACUUUGGAAUACUACGUGCUAUA